RNAcentral lists this unclassified non-coding RNA (267 nucleotides) under Basidiomycota sp. RNAcentral describes it as "partial contains small subunit ribosomal RNA, internal transcribed spacer 1, and 5.8S ribosomal RNA". The stretch from base 1 to 47 matches the Rfam family "Eukaryotic small subunit ribosomal RNA", at positions 1785 to 1831 of the family's 1831-position model. The record is from RNAcentral. Lineage: Eukaryota; Fungi; Basidiomycota.
AAAGUCGUAACAAGGUUUCCGUAGGUGAACCUGCGGAAGGAUCAUUAUCGAUUCUAAAAAAAGGAUGUGCUGGCUUCACUCUCCAAAGGAGUGAGGUAGAUGUGCACUCUGAAUCAAUCAACACCUGUGCACCUUUUUGUAGGUAAAGAGGGGGAGUUUCAUCCCUCUUAAGCCUAUGUAUUUUUUUAAUACACACCAACACAAACUUGUUUUUAAUGGGUUCAAUAAAUAACAAUACAACUUUCAACAAUGGAUCUCUUGGUUCUC